UCUGAUUACAUGAUAAAUAGGGACAGUCGGGGUCCUUCGUAUUAAUUCGGGAAGAGGUGAAAUUCUAAGAUCGAAUUAAGACGUACUAAUGCGAAAGCAUUGGACAAGGAUGUCUUCAUUAAUCAAGAACGAAAGUUGGGGGAUCGAAGAUGAUCAGAUACCGUCGUAGUCCCAACCUUAAACUAUGUCGACCAAAGGUCAAAAAAUGUCUAAAAGGAUGACUUUUCUGGUAUUCUGUGAGAAAUCAUAAGUUUYCGGAUUCCGGGGGGAGUAUGGUCGCAAGGCUGAAACUUAAAGGAAUUGACGGAAGGGCACCACCAGGAGUGGAACCUGCGGCUUAAUUUGACUCAACGCGGGGAAACUCACCAGGUCAGGACACAGUAAGGAUUGACAGAUUGAUAGCUCUUUCUUGAUUUUGUGGAAAGUGGUGCAUGGCCGUUUUUAGUUGGUGGAUUGAUUUGUCUGGUUUAUUCCGUUAACGAACGAGACCUUAUCCUAUUAAAUAGUGAUCAUUAUUUUAAUCCAAAUUUAUUUCAAAUAUUAUUAUUUGAAAAAAAUAAGAUUGGAUUUUUUAUAAUAAUGGAAUUUAACUUCUUAGAGGGACAUUUCAUGUCUAAUGAAUGGAAGAUUGAGGCAACAACAGGUCUGUGAUGCCCUUCGAUGUUCUGGGCUGCACGCGUGUUACAAUGAUAUAUUCAAUGAGUAAAUAAACCUAACCCGAUGGGGUUUAUAGGGGAAUCUUUGAAAAUUAUAACGUGAUAGGGAUAGAUCAUUGCAAUUAUUGAUCUUUAACGAGGAAUUCCUAGUAAGUGUGAGUCAUCAACUCACGUUGAUUACGUCCCUGCCCUUUGUACACACCGCCCGUCGCUCCUACCGAUUGAAUGAUCCGGUGAGAACUUAGGAUAAUUGAUAAUUUUGACUGACUUAUAGUUAGUCUUUUACCAUAUUAAAAUUUGUUCAAACCUUAUCAUUUAGAGGAAGGAGAAGUCGUAAC
This 994-nucleotide ribosomal RNA is filed under the name Golemanskia viscidula. RNAcentral's name for it is "SSU rRNA". The record is from RNAcentral. Lineage: Eukaryota; Tubulinea; Elardia; Arcellinida; Difflugiidae.